GAUGAACGCUGGCGGCGUGCUUAACACAUGCAAGUCGAGCGAAGCGAUUUUGAUGAAGUUUUCGGAUGGAAUUAAGAUUGACUGAGCGGCGGACGGGUGAGUAACGCGUGGGUAACCUGCCUCAUACAGGGGGAUAACAGUUAGAAAUGGCUGCUAAUACCGCAUAAGCGCACAGUACCGCAUGGUACGGUGUGAAAAACCCAGGUGGUGUGAGAUGGAUCCGCGUCUGAUUAGCCAGUUGGCGGGUAACGCCCACCAAAGCGACGAUCAGUAGCCGACCUGAGAGGGUGACCGGCCACAUUGGGACUGAGACACGGGCCCAAACUCCUACGGGGGGCAGGCAGUGGGGAAUGUUGCACAAUGGGCGCAAGCCUGAUGCAGCGACGCCGCGUGAGUG
RNAcentral lists this ribosomal RNA (397 nucleotides) under uncultured bacterium. Its description in RNAcentral is "bacterial SSU rRNA". It matches the Rfam family "Bacterial small subunit ribosomal RNA", at positions 28 to 407 of the family's 1533-position model. The record is from RNAcentral.